GAAAAGAAACCAACAGGGAUUGCCUCAGUAACGGCGAGUGAAGCGGCAUCAGCUCAGAUUUGAAAUCCGCCCUCUCGGGUCGAGUUGUAAUCUGCAGAGGAACGUUCGGCGGAGGCGGCGGCCUAAGUUUCCUGGAACGGAACGUCGCAGAGGGUGAGAACCCCGUACGCGGUUGCGCGCCGAUGCCAUGUGUACGUCCUUCGACGAGUCGAGUUGUUUGGGAAUGCAGCUCAAAGCGGGUGGUAAAUUCCAUCUAAAGCUAAAUAUUGGCCAGAGACCGAUAGCGCACAAGUAGAGUGAUCGAAAGAUGAAAAGCACUUUGGAAAGAGAGUUAAACAGUACGUGAAAUUGUUGAAAGGGAAGCGCUCGCGAUCAGAUUUUGGACGGCGGUUCACCUCUUCUUCUGAGGGGGGCACUCCACCGCUCCAAUGCCAGCAUCGGUUUCGGCGGCCGGACAAAGGCGCGAGGAACGUGAUUCCCCUCGGGGAAAGUUAUAGCCUCGCGCACAAUACGGCCAGCCGGGACCGAGGGACGCGCAUCUGCCAGGAUGCUGGCGUAAUGGUCGCUAGCGGCCCGUCUUGAAACACGGACCAAGGAGUCUAACAUCCGUGCGAGUGUUAGGGUGACAAACCCUCAUCGCGUAAUGAAAGUGAACGGAGGUGGGAGCUUCGGCGCACCAUCGACCGAUCCCGAGAUUCUUCGAAGGAUUUGAGUAAGAGCACGGCUGUUGGGACCCGAAAGAUGGUGAGCUAUACGUGAAUAGGGUGAAGCCAGAGGAAACUCUGGUGGAGGCUCGCAGCGGUUCUGACGUGCAAAUCGAUCGUCAAAUUUG
This 832-nucleotide ribosomal RNA is filed under the name Chaetothyriothecium elegans. RNAcentral describes it as "eukaryotic LSU rRNA". It matches the Rfam family "Eukaryotic large subunit ribosomal RNA", at positions 56 to 913 of the family's 3401-position model. Lineage: Eukaryota; Fungi; Ascomycota; Dothideomycetes; Microthyriales. The record is from RNAcentral.